GCUUCACACGGUGUGUCUUUUUACAAUUUAUAUGUUACCAUUGACGCAUACGUUCCACUGAACAGCGCAGCUUAGGCGAUAUCUAGUCAUUAUUUAUCUAUGGAAAUGUUCUGCUUGUCAUCCCCUGCAUUUGGGUCAACUUUCCGGAAUCCAUUGCGACGUUAACUUAUAGGCUUACUCAAUCAAUAACUCAUGUAAAACUGUGAUCUUGUAUGCUAGUAAAUGAUGUUUUAAUGAAAAGUAAUAAUAAUAUUUUUUCCGUUUUUCUCUAUUUUUAUUUGUGGUUUUAAAGCAUUGACGCCUCUAGAGAAGAUGGUUCCUUCGGCCGCUUGGUGAACGAUGACCACAGACAUCCCAAUGCCAGGAUGAAGAGAAUAGACAUUGCAGGAAGCACACACCUCUGUCUCUUUGCUCUCCAAGACAUAAAAGAAGGUGAAGAAAUUGCAUAUAAUUAUGGAGGAGAGGACUGCCCAAGCAGAUGACUACAUGUGAACCUGAGACGUCCUGUGUGAGCUCCCAGUCUGUGCUCAUGUCAGAGCCACAGUGGGAUGAAGCUGCCUGGUUAGAGGACACUGGUCACCAGAUGACUACAUGUGAACCUGACACGCCCUGUGGGAGCUCCCAGUCUGUGCUCAUGU
Gadus chalcogrammus (walleye pollock) is the source of this 638-nucleotide long non-coding RNA. RefSeq lists it as uncharacterized. The record is from RefSeq and is a predicted model, not a curated record. NCBI's taxonomy places the organism in Eukaryota, Metazoa, Chordata, Actinopteri, Gadiformes, Gadidae. The transcript has 3 exons.